Molecule: ribosomal RNA, 301 nt
Filed under: uncultured bacterium
Lineage: Bacteria
Description: partial 16S ribosomal RNA
Rfam family: Bacterial small subunit ribosomal RNA
Source: RNAcentral
CAGCAGCCGCGGUAAUACGAAGGGUGCAAGCGUUAACCGGAAUUACUGGGCGUAAAGCGUGCGUAGGCGGUGAGUUAAGUCUGCUGUGAAAUCCCCGGGCUCAACCUGGGAAUGGCAGUGGAUACUGGCUCGCUAGAGUGUGUCAGAGGAUGGUGGAAUUCCCGGUGUAGCGGUGAAAUGCGUAGAGAUCGGGAGGAACAUCAGUGGCGAAGGCGGCCAUCUGGGACAACACUGACGCUGAGGCACGAAAGCGUGGGGAGCAAACAGGAUUAGAUACCCGAGUAGUCCCUGUCUCUUAUAC